ACCAGUUUCUUGAGUAUUUCUCUAGCUUUAUUGCCUUAGUAAUUGUAGCCUAGAUCUAUAUUUCAACAGCUAGUACUAAUUUGACAUUUUCAUUAUAGGAUCAAAGGGAAAUUUAGGUGGUCAGGUGGCGAGAGACCAACAUUUUUCAUCUAACAGUUGGACAGCGGGUGUCCCUGACGCACCUGAAAACAUCGUGUUCCGGUGGCCUGGAGCUCCACUCCACGGAAAAUACUGUGAUAAAGGUGGACUCUUGUGACAGACCCCAGCACAGUAAUAUCAGUGUGAUAGAGGACAACUUACCAACAACGUUGACAGCCGGAGUGCCUGAGAGAGCGGAGGCUUCGUGGCCGUUUGUCUACCGUCGAUCAUCGGACACAAAGUAUGGCUGCGGAUCAAGAGGUUUGUACGGCUUCGUGCACCAACUGCACCCUUCUCUUAGAGAGGUUGUCCCUGCUAGAGGGACGUGUCCGCCAGUUAGAGCAGAAUUGCGCGAUAACAGUAGAUGUGGCGGA
This is a long non-coding RNA of Syngnathus acus (greater pipefish), 512 nucleotides long. RefSeq lists it as uncharacterized. The record is from RefSeq and is a predicted model, not a curated record. The transcript has 2 exons. Lineage: Eukaryota; Metazoa; Chordata; Actinopteri; Syngnathiformes; Syngnathidae.